This 404-nucleotide ribosomal RNA is filed under the name Actinomycetes bacterium. RNAcentral describes it as "Actinobacteria bacterium partial 16S ribosomal RNA". It matches the Rfam family "Bacterial small subunit ribosomal RNA", at positions 355 to 776 of the family's 1533-position model. RNAcentral also lists the same sequence under 1 other name. Lineage: Bacteria; Bacillati; Actinomycetota; Actinomycetes. The record is from RNAcentral.
UGGGGAAUAUUGGACAAUGGGCGCAAGCCUGAUCCAGCCAUGCCGCGUGAGUGAUGAAGGCCCUAGGGUUGUAAAGCUCUUUCACCGGUGAAGAUAAUGACGGUAACCGGAGAAGAAGCCCCGGCUAACUUCGUGCCAGCAGCCGCGGUAAUACGAAGGGGGCUAGCGUUGUUCGGAUUUACUGGGCGUAAAGCGCACGUAGGCGAACUUUUAAGUCAGGGGUGAAAUCCCGGGGCUCAACCCCGGAACUGCCUUUGAUACUGGAAGUCUUGAGUAUGGUAGAGGUGAGUGGAAUUCCGAGUGUAGAGGUGAAAUUCGUAGAUAUUCGGAGGAACACCAGUGGCGAAGGCGGCUCACUGGACCAUUACUGACGCUGAGGUGCGAAAGCGUGGGGAGCAAACAGG